CACUCCAUAGGGAGAAGUGCCACCCAGGAGACCCACGACCUGGGCAGAAGCCUCAGCCUCUAACUUGGGGACUGCUCCCAACCCAGCUGAAGCAGCCUCUGCAUGUGAGCUUGAGGGCUGUCUCUCCACACCCCUGAGGAAUCAAAGAGGGGCAAGGUUCUAGAGGUCUUCCAGGCCACCACCGGCUGCCUUCUCACACUCCACCGAGGACUCCCGCAGAAGCACCUCUCCACUCUGGCCCCUUCCCACCGUGGGGCCGCAGGGGACCCUCUGACGGCUCCUUUAAGGAGCAGCCCCCGCCCCCACCAGGCCAGCCACCGCCCCACGCGCUGCGCCGUAAAGUUUAGAGGGCGGAUCGGGUGACCGGGCAGGCAGCCGGGCAGGCAGCCGGACGGGCUGGAGAAGGCGGCCAGGCGGGAGUGGAAUGGGCACGAGGGAGGGGCUGGUUGGAGGUGGAACAACCCCCACGAAACCCAGAGCCGAAACCUGAGGGAGUUUUACAGACAGGAUGGAGCUCCUGUAACUCGGAGCCUCAGUUGGGAAUGACUUGGGGUCUUGUCCUGAAGCUUAGUCUGGUGAACAUGCCCCAUUUGUAGCAUAAGGGGUACUUCUCUGGAGGGACUGUAUGUUGACAGUGGCAGAGUGGAGCCCUCAAGUCCACCUGAGUGAAUAUACCAGGGCUUGAGAAUG
Molecule: non-coding RNA, 690 nt
Organism: Macaca mulatta (Rhesus monkey)
Lineage: Eukaryota; Metazoa; Chordata; Mammalia; Primates; Cercopithecidae
Source: RefSeq, a predicted model, not a curated record